This 2428-nucleotide unclassified non-coding RNA is filed under the name Gigantopelta aegis. RNAcentral describes it as "synaptobrevin homolog YKT6-like, transcript variant X2". Lineage: Eukaryota; Metazoa; Mollusca; Gastropoda; Neomphalida; Peltospiridae. The record is from RNAcentral.
UUUACCGGAACUUUUGGAACUUGUUUCUGUUUACGUAAACAAAUUUCCCCGUCAUAAUACUUUUUGAAAAGUUUAUCUUAAAUUCCUAACCCAAGCUAUGCCUUUUACGAGGUGUUUGAUUCCUGCUGUUAGCAGAUUUGUUAUUUUAUUCGAAACUACCCUAAACUAGUGCAGCGUCACUUCCUGUUUUGACUCAUUUCAAUUUUCAGAAUUUUUACGAUUUGGAACACUGAACAGCUUGGCAAAGUUGACGGUCUUAUGAUUGGAUCUCUUUUAUUGGCACAUCUAUAAGAGUAUAAGUUUAUAACGGAUAACAAUUGUUUUUGCCUGGAUUGGAAUCAACUGAACAAAACCAAGUAGAUAGACACUGAUUUGUGUUCACACCAGUUCACUGACUAGGGUGCAGUUGUCAUUCCGAUUACAAACUUAAACAGUAACUCUACUAACUGAGAAGCCAGAAGGGUUCUACCUUAUUUCUUACUUACUGGUGAUAAUAAACACAGAUACAGCUUAGAAGAAUCCAGCAGCCAUGCGUCUGUACUCACUCUCUAUUUUGUUCAAGACGGCCGAUGGACAGGUUAAGCAGUUGAAAGCUGCCCAUGACGUGGCUUCAUUUGGAUAUUUUCAAAGAGGAAGUAUUCGGGAGUUUAUGGAUUUCACCAGUAAAAUUCUCGUUGAGAGAACUUCCAUUUGUUCGAGAACAUCAGUCAAAGAACAGGAAUAUAUUUGCCACGUGUAUGUUCGCAGUGAUUCGCUAGCAGGCGUGGUUAUUGCUGAUCAUGAGUACCCCAAGAGGGUGGCCCACACGUUGCUCAACAAGGUGCUUGAUGAAUUUUGUGCCAAGUAUCCCAAAGGAACUUGGAAUAUACCAGAAAGUAGUAUAAAUUUUCCAGUUUUACCCCAGUACUUAGAAAAAUACCAGAAUCCAAAGGAAGCGGAUGCCAUGACAAAGAUACAGACAGAGUUAGAUGAAACAAAAAUUAUUCUUCAUGACACAAUUGAAGCUGUGUUAGACCGUGGAGAAAAACUUGAUGAUUUGGUUGACAAAUCGGAGGGGUUGAGCACACAGUCGAAAGCUUUCUAUAAAACAGCCAAAAAGACAAACCAGUGUUGUAUUAUUCUAUGAGUGAGAGAUUCGUAUGUAUUCGCUGUCAACACGUGUCAUGUUUGUUGUGCCAUUCUCAGUGAAACAUUGUCACCUGACAAGGAACACAAGAUGAUCGUCCUCUUGUUAAACUCUCCACCAUUCCACAGAACGAAGCUACAGCACCACUUCUCAUCUUGCAUACAACAGACGCAGUAAUGGUUUAGUGCACACACCUGCUGUCUCGACUGUCUGUCUUGAACCUGUUGGUGGUUAGUGAGAGAGAAGUCGGUGUAGUGGCAUUACACACCUGCUGAGGAGCUGGGCACUCAAUGUGGGUUGAGCCGGUAAUGAGAUACGAACCCAGUACUUGCCAGAGCUUGGCAGUAAAUAUAAAGUUCUGUUGCAUAUGCUGCAAUCAAUACAUAUUGUAAUAGUGUUAUGAGAGUUUGCAGAAAGCAUGCGUGUAUAGCUGCACUUCAAUUACCUAGUUGUUCAUUAUAGUGUUGUAAUAAAAAUAGAUGAAAUAAGGAUAGGAACUAUUUAUUACGUCCCCAGUGAAAAAUGAGCAGUGCAAUAAUGAAAUGAUUUGAGGGGUAUUACAAUGUUCAUGUGCUCUCUUUUUUGUCUUCCUUCUCUAAUUUUUUCUUCUCAAAAUCAUCUUUGUUUAAUAACUGAAACUUUUCAGAUCUGAUGCAAUCAUUAAUUUUACUUUGUUCAAUAUGAGUUUACUUCAAGUCAGUAAUAUAUAAACAUUUUAUGGUACAUAAUAGCAUGGCACUGUGUUAAUACCCAGAUUAUUUACGGCCAUAUAGAUUUUAAAAAUUAAAAAUAUAGAGGCUAUGUCUUUAGGGGGUUCUUAUAAUAGUGUUAACUAAAAACAGCAGUAACUUUUAUUGGGAAUCCAGCCAUAUUUAUCCACAUAACCUUGAAACACAUUAUCCAUUUGAUGUUACAUGUAGACAUGGAUACCGAAGCAGAAACUCGUUUCCCACCAGUCGUCCUACAUGGCAGGGUGGGAUGUUGUUCUGAUGAAGAAUAACACACCACGUAAAAAUAAAAUAAUGGGGGGAGGGGUGGCAGUAAAAGUAUUUAAUCUGUGAUAUUAUCAGCCAAACAAAAAGGGCACAUUCAAUUUUGUAUUUUGAAGAGGUCUUGUUUGAAAUAUUGAUAUUGGCUAUUGAACCUGGAAAAUAAAAUUGAAACAGGUCUCUAUAUUAAGAUUUUGUGCAUAUCCACUGAUGUGCAAUAUGUGUAGAUUACAAGUUUAAUUUCAAUUACUGUUGUACAAUUGAUGUGUGUACAUUGCUUGUCACCUGUCUAAAAUAAACAAUCAUGUUACGA